This is a long non-coding RNA of Eleginops maclovinus (Patagonian blennie), 285 nucleotides long. RefSeq lists it as uncharacterized. The record is from RefSeq and is a predicted model, not a curated record. NCBI's taxonomy places the organism in Eukaryota, Metazoa, Chordata, Actinopteri, Perciformes, Eleginopidae. The transcript is spliced from 3 exons.
CUAGGAGAGAGAGACAGGCAGUUUCCACAUCAACAAUCAUUUCAGUCAACGGCGAGAUGGAACGGCCCAGCGUCACAAUGGUGGUGCUGAAGCUGCUGCUGGACCCAUAGAGGAAACCUACCUCAUCAAAGUGUGUUUUCUGCGUGUAUCAAAUCUCACCAAUACCCACCUCUCCCACCAGCCAGACAAAAGACCAGGGGAGAGGAAUGUAAUGUUCUCUGUCAAAGUAACAGUGUGCUGCGACCCAUCCUAAGGCAUGAGCAACUGCACCAGCAGCAGGUGUAG